UUAUAUAAUAAUUGGUGAACUUUAUGCUGUCACACAGGCCUACCGGUGGAUGAUAGACUCUCGCGAUGACUUUACUGAGGAGCGGCUGUCUAAACUUCAGGACCCCUUCUCUCUCUACCGCUGCCACACUAUCAUGAAUUGCACCAAGUCCUGCCCCAAGGGACUCAACCCAGCAAAGGCCAUCGCUGAGAUCAAGAAAAUGAUGGCAAUUUACCAAGAAAAGAAAGCGGUUGCAUCAUGAACAGACACGAGUUAAGACCGCUCAGAGCCACUAAUACUACUUCCUCAAUUUAAGCUUAGUGGAGAGAAGAUCUAACAAGGAACGUUGGCAAUUUUUGCAGAUGUGGGCAGUUACGCUGCUGACCAUGCUACAAAACGGUCAACAUAUUUAUUUUCACUUUACGAGUCGCAAUUAAAAAACUUUU
This is a long non-coding RNA of Hippocampus comes (tiger tail seahorse), 425 nucleotides long. RefSeq lists it as uncharacterized. The transcript is spliced from 2 exons. Lineage: Eukaryota; Metazoa; Chordata; Actinopteri; Syngnathiformes; Syngnathidae. The record is from RefSeq and is a predicted model, not a curated record.